RNAcentral lists this ribosomal RNA (441 nucleotides) under uncultured bacterium. RNAcentral describes it as "partial 16S ribosomal RNA". It matches the Rfam family "Bacterial small subunit ribosomal RNA", at positions 338 to 795 of the family's 1533-position model. The record is from RNAcentral.
CCUACGGGAGGCUGCAGUGGGGAAUAUUGCACAAUGGGGGAAACGCUGAUGCAGCAACGCCGCGUGAGUGAAGAAGUAUUCCGGCAUGUAAAGCUCUAUCAGCAGGGAAGAAGAAAGACGGUACCUGACUAAGAAGCCCCGGCUAACUACGUGCCAGCAGCCGCGGUAAUACGUAGGGGGCAAGCGUUAUCCGGAUUUACUGGGGGUAACGGGAGCGUAGACGGCUGUGCAAGUCUGAAGUGAAAGCCCGUGGCUCAACCGCGGAACUGCUUUGGAAACUGUAUAGCUUGAGGACUGGAGAGGCAGGCGGAAUUCCUAGUGUAGCGGUGAAAUGCGUAGAUAUUAGGAGGAACACCAGUGGCGAAGGCGGCCUGCUGGACAGAAACUGAUGUUGAGGCUCGAAAGCGUGGGGAGCGAACAGGAUUAGAUACCCCAGUAGUC